CCAAUAGCGUAUAUUAAAGUUGUUGCAGUUAAAAAGCUCGUAGUUGAAUUUCGGGAUCAAUAUUUCGGUCAUGCCGUUGGUAUGCACUGUUAUAAUUGAUUUCUCACCUUCUAAAGAACCGUAAUGCCAUUAAUUUGGUGUUACGGGGAAUUAGGACUGUUACCUUGAAAAAAUUAGAGUGUUUAAAGCAGGCUCACGCU
This 200-nucleotide ribosomal RNA is filed under the name uncultured Glomus. RNAcentral describes it as "partial small subunit ribosomal RNA". It matches the Rfam family "Eukaryotic small subunit ribosomal RNA", at positions 591 to 795 of the family's 1831-position model. Lineage: Eukaryota; Fungi; Glomeromycota; Glomeromycetes; Glomerales; Glomeraceae. The record is from RNAcentral.